UACGUAGGGGGCAAGCGUUGUCCGGAAUCAUUGGGCGUAAAGAGCGUGUAGGCGGUCCGGUCAGUCGGUUGUGAAAGUCAAGGGCUCAACCCUUGAAUGCCGGCCGAUACUGCCGGGCUAGAGUCCGGAAGAGGUGAGUGGAAUUCCUGGUGUAGCGGUGAAAUGCGCAGAUAUCAGGAGGAACACCGAUGGCGAAGGCAGCUCACUGGGACGUUACUGACGCUGAGACGCGAAAGCGUGGGGAGCAAACAGG
This 253-nucleotide ribosomal RNA is filed under the name uncultured bacterium. RNAcentral describes it as "partial 16S ribosomal RNA". It matches the Rfam family "Bacterial small subunit ribosomal RNA", at positions 524 to 776 of the family's 1533-position model. The record is from RNAcentral.